UCCCACGAAUCCGAGCUAGGUGCAUGGACCGGACUGUUAAUCCGAGGUUAGGUGAGUUCGAAUCUCACGGUGGGAGCCA
Molecule: transfer RNA, 79 nt
Filed under: Acinetobacter phage vB_AbaM_Konradin
Lineage: Duplodnaviria; Heunggongvirae; Uroviricota; Caudoviricetes; Pantevenvirales; Straboviridae
Also listed under: 2 other names
Description: Acinetobacter phage Konradin tRNA-Asn
Rfam family: tRNA
About the family: Transfer RNA (tRNA) molecules are approximately 80 nucleotides in length. Their secondary structure includes four short double-helical elements and three loops (D, anti-codon, and T loops).
Source: RNAcentral